GCGGGGUUGGGACUCACUCACGCUCCCUGAGUAGUGAGGGGAGUGAGGAAACACCGUGCACCCCGCGGCAACGCGACCCCGUAAGGGGUACGGGUAGUUCCCGUGGCAACGGCACAGAAACGGCACGGCCAGUACGAGAUGGCUAUGAUGCGGGCCAGCUCCCGGCAACGGGGGCUCUAAACCGCAGAGGACUGUAUUGGAGGCGUUGAAACGGCCGUCCCGCGUGGUGUAAGGCCCAGGUCUGAGAUGAAGUGCCGCGUGAUCGGUAUGGGCCGCUUAGAAAAAUGUGAGUAGACAGAACACGGGUUACUCCCAGCCCCGC
This 322-nucleotide RNase P RNA is filed under the name Desulfurococcaceae archaeon. RNAcentral's name for it is "RNase P RNA component". It matches the Rfam family "Archaeal RNase P". From Rfam's summary of the family: Ribonuclease P (RNase P) is a ubiquitous endoribonuclease, found in archaea, bacteria and eukarya as well as chloroplasts and mitochondria. Lineage: Archaea; Thermoproteati; Thermoproteota; Thermoprotei; Desulfurococcales; Desulfurococcaceae. The record is from RNAcentral.